GCCUUCUUAGCUCAGUUGGUAGAGUGCGUCACUAGUAAUGACGAGGUCAGUCGUUGAAAUCGGCUAGAAGGCA
Sphaerobolus stellatus SS14 is the source of this 73-nucleotide transfer RNA. It matches the Rfam family "tRNA". From Rfam's summary of the family: Transfer RNA (tRNA) molecules are approximately 80 nucleotides in length. Their secondary structure includes four short double-helical elements and three loops (D, anti-codon, and T loops). Further hydrogen bonds mediate the characteristic L-shaped molecular structure. tRNAs have two regions of fundamental functional importance: the anti-codon, which is responsible for specific mRNA codon recognition, and the 3' end, to which the tRNAs corresponding amino acid is attached (by aminoacyl-tRNA synthetases). tRNAs cope with the degeneracy of the genetic code in two manners: having more than one tRNA (with a specific anti-codon) for a particular amino acid; and 'wobble' base-pairing, i.e. permitting non-standard base-pairing at the 3rd anti-codon position. Lineage: Eukaryota; Fungi; Basidiomycota; Agaricomycetes; Geastrales; Sphaerobolaceae. The record is from Rfam.